RNAcentral lists this ribosomal RNA (1554 nucleotides) under Enterobacter cancerogenus. RNAcentral describes it as "bacterial SSU rRNA". It matches the Rfam family "Bacterial small subunit ribosomal RNA". The record is from RNAcentral. Lineage: Bacteria; Pseudomonadati; Pseudomonadota; Gammaproteobacteria; Enterobacterales; Enterobacteriaceae.
ACUUAAAUUGAAGAGUUUGAUCAUGGCUCAGAUUGAACGCUGGCGGCAGGCCUAACACAUGCAAGUCGAACGGUAGCACAGAGAGCUUGCUCUCGGGUGACGAGUGGCGGACGGGUGAGUAAUGUCUGGGAAACUGCCUGAUGGAGGGGGAUAACUACUGGAAACGGUAGCUAAUACCGCAUAACGUCGCAAGACCAAAGAGGGGGACCUUCGGGCCUCUUGCCAUCAGAUGUGCCCAGAUGGGAUUAGCUAGUAGGUGGGGUAACGGCUCACCUAGGCGACGAUCCCUAGCUGGUCUGAGAGGAUGACCAGCCACACUGGAACUGAGACACGGUCCAGACUCCUACGGGAGGCAGCAGUGGGGAAUAUUGCACAAUGGGCGCAAGCCUGAUGCAGCCAUGCCGCGUGUAUGAAGAAGGCCUUCGGGUUGUAAAGUACUUUCAGCGGGGAGGAAGGCGAUAAGGUUAAUAACCUUGUCGAUUGACGUUACCCGCAGAAGAAGCACCGGCUAACUCCGUGCCAGCAGCCGCGGUAAUACGGAGGGUGCAAGCGUUAAUCGGAAUUACUGGGCGUAAAGCGCACGCAGGCGGUCUGUCAAGUCGGAUGUGAAAUCCCCGGGCUCAACCUGGGAACUGCAUUCGAAACUGGCAGGCUAGAGUCUUGUAGAGGGGGGUAGAAUUCCAGGUGUAGCGGUGAAAUGCGUAGAGAUCUGGAGGAAUACCGGUGGCGAAGGCGGCCCCCUGGACAAAGACUGACGCUCAGGUGCGAAAGCGUGGGGAGCAAACAGGAUUAGAUACCCUGGUAGUCCACGCCGUAAACGAUGUCGACUUGGAGGUUGUGCCCUUGAGGCGUGGCUUCCGGAGCUAACGCGUUAAGUCGACCGCCUGGGGAGUACGGCCGCAAGGUUAAAACUCAAAUGAAUUGACGGGGGCCCGCACAAGCGGUGGAGCAUGUGGUUUAAUUCGAUGCAACGCGAAGAACCUUACCUACUCUUGACAUCCAGAGAACUUAGCAGAGAUGCUUUGGUGCCUUCGGGAACUCUGAGACAGGUGCUGCAUGGCUGUCGUCAGCUCGUGUUGUGAAAUGUUGGGUUAAGUCCCGCAACGAGCGCAACCCUUAUCCUUUGUUGCCAGCGGUUAGGCCGGGAACUCAAAGGAGACUGCCAGUGAUAAACUGGAGGAAGGUGGGGAUGACGUCAAGUCAUCAUGGCCCUUACGAGUAGGGCUACACACGUGCUACAAUGGCGCAUACAAAGAGAAGCGACCUCGCGAGAGCAAGCGGACCUCAUAAAGUGCGUCGUAGUCCGGAUUGGAGUCUGCAACUCGACUCCAUGAAGUCGGAAUCGCUAGUAAUCGUAGAUCAGAAUGCUACGGUGAAUACGUUCCCGGGCCUUGUACACACCGCCCGUCACACCAUGGGAGUGGGUUGCAAAAGAAGUAGGUAGCUUAACCUUCGGGAGGGCGCUUACCACUUUGUGAUUCAUGACUGGGGUGAAGUCGUAACAAGGUAACCGUAGGGGAACCUGCGGUUGGAUCACCUCCUUACCUUAAAGAA